Bos taurus (domestic cattle) is the source of this 572-nucleotide long non-coding RNA. Lineage: Eukaryota; Metazoa; Chordata; Mammalia; Artiodactyla; Bovidae. The record is from Ensembl.
GCUAAGGACUCCUGACCUGUGACGCUGGGGAACGCACACACAGAUGACUAGUUUCUCAGCGUCCUCCCCUCCUGACACAGCUGGCCCCUUCCCUCUACUUUUCAGUGACAUAGGCACAGGCCCAGAGGAGGGGGGUUAUGCUUUCCUAGUUCUGUCCCUCGCCCGCCGCCCUGACACCGUAACUCAAAGACAGCGUGGUGUUUGUGCCGACUGCUCAUCUCUUUUCACCCGUUAGCCUGUGGAGGCUUUGUGAUUAUCCACACUGAGUUGAUUGGCGCUCUCAUGAUUAGUGCAAACCCUGUAGGAAGAGAUGGAUGUGGAAACUCUCUGCCUUCCUUGGUUCCUGGACAUCAGAGAUCUUCUUGAUGGGUCCCCUCUGGUUACUCCAUCUUCAUCCCAAAGAAACAAUUACUCUACCCCAUCUUGUCUCAUGCUUUUGUGCGCAGUGCACACUCUGUUCCAAACGCUGGGGGUCCGGGGGGCUGUCUUACUCAUCCCUGAAAAUCUACCCCAGUGGUGAGCCUCAGUGAACCUCCUGUCUGCCCAGCUUCCCCUCCUCUCCAGUCUCCAAA